This 510-nucleotide long non-coding RNA is filed under the name Homo sapiens (human). RNAcentral's name for it is "HSALNT0317065". The record is from RNAcentral. Lineage: Eukaryota; Metazoa; Chordata; Mammalia; Primates; Hominidae.
CCUGACCUCAAGCGAUCCACCCGCCUUGACCUCUCGAAGUUCUGGGAUUACAACUGUGAACCACUGCACCCGGCCCAUAAGUUAUUUAAAUGAUGGAAAAAUUCUAUAAAGAGAAAAUUCCACCUCCUCUACUGUUAGUGGUGAAGCUCACAUAAGAAAGGUCAAAAGAACUCAAGAGCCAAUUUGAGGACAUUCUGAUUAGCUAAAGUAUGACAAUCUGAGCAUCAGUAAGAUCAUCAAUUACAAACCAUUUUGAAAAAUCGUAUUGCUAGUGAUAAUCUUGGUAUUGCUAUUCUGAGAUAGUUGAGUUUGCAUUGUGAAAUAAAGCAAAUAUGUAUUUAUUUGAUAAUCUGAUUCUGUCAUUCUUGGUGUAAAUAAGAAAGGGGAUUCGUGGCAUGGAAAAAAUGAAAUAAAGUUAUAAGUUGAACGUGUUAAAUAAAAUUAUAACACCUGAUAUGGCAUGAUUUCAAAAUGUCCACAAAAAUUCAUAUUAGCAUAUAUUUAUGUUCC